Molecule: ribosomal RNA, 490 nt
Filed under: uncultured bacterium
Lineage: Bacteria
Description: partial 16S ribosomal RNA
Rfam family: Bacterial small subunit ribosomal RNA
Source: RNAcentral
AAUGAACGCUGGCGGCAUGCCUUACACAUGCAAGUCGAACGGCAGCAUGACCUAGCUUGCUAGGUUGAUGGCGAGUGGCGAACGGGUGAGUAAUGCAUCGGAACGUGCCUUUUAGUGGGGGAUAACGUAGCGAAAGUUACGCUAAUACCGCAUAUUCUCUGAGGAGGAAAGCAGGGGACCUUCGGGCCUUGCGCUAGAAGAGCGGCCGAUGUCGGAUUAGCUAGUUGGUGAGGUAAAGGCUCACCAAGGCAACGAUCCGUAGCGGGUCUGAGAGGAUGAUCAGCCACACUGGGACUGAGACACGGCCCAGACUCCUACGGGAGGCAGCAGUGGGGAAUUUUGGACAAUGGGCGCAAGCCUGAUCCAGCCAUGCCGCGUGAGUGAAGAAGGCCUUCGGGUUGUAAAGCUCUUUCGGCUGGGAAGAAAUCGAACCCUCUAAUACAGGGUGUGGAUGACGGUACCAGCAGAAGAAGCACCGGCUAACUACGUG